AACGAACGCUGGCGGCAUGCCUAACACAUGCAAGUCGAACGAGACCUUCGGGUCUAGUGGCGCACGGGUGCGUAACGCGUGGGAACCUGCCCUUAGGUUCGGAAUAACUCCCCGAAAGGGGUGCUAAUACCGGAUAAUGUCUUCGGACCAAAGAUUUAUCGCCUUUGGAUGGGCCCGCGUUGGAUUAGCUAGUUGGUAGGGUAAAAGCCUACCAAGGCGACGAUCCAUAGCUGGUCUGAGAGGAUGAUCAGCCACACUGGGACUGAGACACGGCCCAGACACUCACGGGGGGGACAGGUGGGGGAAAUUGGAGAAAGGGGGAAAAACUGAUACAGAAAAGUCCGGGGAGUGUGAUGAGGGCUAUGGGUUUAAAACUCUUUUUUCCCGGGUAUUAAAGGAACGGCCGGGAGAAAAAAAGCCGGGGCAAUCCCC
Molecule: ribosomal RNA, 432 nt
Filed under: uncultured bacterium
Lineage: Bacteria
Description: partial 16S ribosomal RNA
Rfam family: Bacterial small subunit ribosomal RNA
Source: RNAcentral